RNAcentral lists this unclassified non-coding RNA (253 nucleotides) under uncultured Oscillospiraceae bacterium. RNAcentral's name for it is "contains 16S-23S intergenic spacer region". It matches the Rfam family "Bacterial small subunit ribosomal RNA", at positions 524 to 776 of the family's 1533-position model. Lineage: Bacteria; Bacillati; Bacillota; Clostridia; Eubacteriales; Oscillospiraceae. The record is from RNAcentral.
UACGUAGGUGGCGAGCGUUAUCCGGAUUUACUGGGUGUAAAGGGUGUGUAGGCGGGCUUGCAAGUCAGAUGUGAAAACUACGGGCUUAACCUGUAGCCUGCAUUUGAAACUGUGAGUCUUGAGAGUGGGAGAGGUAAACGGAAUUCCGAGUGUAGCGGUGAAAUGCGUAGAUAUUCGGAGGAACACCGGUGGCGAAGGCGGUUUACUGGCCCACAACUGACGCUGAGACACGAAAGCGUGGGGAGCAAACAGG